This 299-nucleotide ribosomal RNA is filed under the name uncultured fungus. Its description in RNAcentral is "partial 28S ribosomal RNA". It matches the Rfam family "Eukaryotic large subunit ribosomal RNA", at positions 296 to 546 of the family's 3401-position model. The record is from RNAcentral. Lineage: Eukaryota; Fungi.
GAGGUAAAUUUCUCCUAAGGCUAAAUAUUGGCGAGAGACCGAUAGCGAACAAGUACCGUGAGGGAAAGAUGAAAAGAACUUUGAAAAGAGAGUUAAACAGUACGUGAAAUUGUUGAAAGGGAAACGAUUGAAGUCAGUCGUACCGGCGGGAAAUCAACCUUUCGAGUGGAAUCUUGGGGCUUUAAAGAGUUUCAAAGCCUUUUGGGUUUCAAGUUUUCAUUCUUUUGGUGUACUUUCUCGUAGGUAGGUCAACAUCGAUUUUGAAUAUCAUAAAAAGACUGGAGGAAUGUAGCUUCGAU